Molecule: ribosomal RNA, 147 nt
Filed under: Priestia megaterium
Lineage: Bacteria; Bacillati; Bacillota; Bacilli; Caryophanales; Bacillaceae
Also listed under: 1 other name
Description: partial 16S ribosomal RNA
Rfam family: Bacterial small subunit ribosomal RNA
Source: RNAcentral
UCUUCGGAGAGUUUGAUCCUGGCUCAGGAUGAACGCUGGCGGCGUGCCUAAUACAUGCAAGUCGAGCGAACUGAUUAGAAGCUUGCUUCUAUGACGUUAGCGGCGGACGGGUGAGUAACACGUGGGCAACCUGCCUGUAAGACUGGG